GUGAGUCUGCAAUUGGCGUCGAGCGGAGGGGAAGUGGAGUCAGGUGUUCCUCAGACAUUAAGCAGCGAGGGAAGAGGAGUCAGGAGGAAGCGUCUUGUCUCGAGGUGUUCUCCUUCCUGGUGGUGGAGGCAGAUGCCGCGGCCAAGCAGCGGCGCAUCACGUCACCGGGAGGAAAGGAAUGAAAGUGUUUUAAUAGCUAACGGAAUGAAGUAAUCCUCUGUACACAACGCUACUUACGGAAUACAACGAAUUAUAAUUGUAGUAAGAUCGGAGAGUGUGAAACAUUAAGAGCACAAAAGAACACGAGUGUUGAAACUCUUAAGUUAUAAGGACGAAGUGACAAGUCCAUUGCCCAACCCUGACCCUCGGUAGCAGCAGUAGCAGCAGCAGCAGCAGCAGCAGCAGCAGCAGCCGUGAGGUGGAGGUGAUGCGCGCCAGGGUGCGGUGGGGGAGGUUGCCGCGGUGUUGAGGCGAGGCUCAGGGGGCGGUGUACGAAGAUGGCCGCCGUGCACCGCCGCCGCGCGCCCUGAAGGAAGCAGCAUGGCGCCGCAGGACUCUCAGGAUUCCCUGCUGAAGGAGGCCUCAGAGGCAGGCCGCCUCGCCGCUCCUUCCUCCUUCCCCCUUACGCCUCCUACCCAGUGCUUCUGCAGGAGGAACCAUUUGGACACCUCGAAAGGAAAACGCGGGGCCCUGUGUAGUGAAUAUCUAAUGGGAACCUCUGUGGCCUCACCCUCCCGCCCGCUCGGGGCCGCGGGACGCUCGAGUGCCUCCUCAGUGAAAGCCCCUCGACCGGCGGCAGGCAGGAAAGAGGCGAAACCGAGGAGUGACCCGAGGGAGGCGUGGCCGAGCGAACGCUGCAACUCUCGGUGUCGGAUGAGCCUCAGGGGUUCGGGUCGGUCCCCCCUGGUGGCCCUCCUGCUGCCUCUCCAUUCCUUCCUCCUGCUCGGGUUGCUGCCCCAUGCCGUGGCCUUCAAUCUAGGUGAGUAGAGCUUCUUGAUUUUUGCCUGACCAAGUAGGUGAGUUGCAGUGUACACAGGCCUCAUGCGGGACACGGGAAUGUUGAUGGUGGGAGGAAUCCCUUAGAGGCAUGUCUUAUCUUAUAGCAAACAAGGAAGUGGCCUUCGAAAUAAUGUCCAGCUGGUGAGUGUAUCCACUUUCAUCUCCACCUCAUCCACCUUACUAUACAUGAUAUUCUCCACCUCCCUUAUCUCCAUCAUCUCCACGUCUGUUCAUUUCUAUGGAUCUUCGUUUCCUCCUCUAA
This is a long non-coding RNA of Scylla paramamosain (green mud crab), 1261 nucleotides long. RefSeq lists it as uncharacterized. The transcript is spliced from 2 exons. Lineage: Eukaryota; Metazoa; Arthropoda; Malacostraca; Decapoda; Portunidae. The record is from RefSeq and is a predicted model, not a curated record.